Molecule: ribosomal RNA, 1410 nt
Filed under: uncultured Bordetella sp.
Lineage: Bacteria; Pseudomonadati; Pseudomonadota; Betaproteobacteria; Burkholderiales; Alcaligenaceae
Description: partial 16S-23S ribosomal RNA intergenic spacer
Rfam family: Bacterial small subunit ribosomal RNA
Source: RNAcentral
AAGUUUGAUUGUAAUCAGUUCAUUGCUGGCAGGAUGCUACAUGCAAGUCGACAGCAGCACGGACUUCAGUCUGGUGGCGAGUGGCGAACGGGUAGUGUGUAUGGAACGAUGCCUAGUAGCGGGAAGAUAACUAUGAAAGCGUAGCUAAUACGCCGCCUCUCAGGGAAAGCAGGGGACCUUCAGGCCUCGCACUAUUAGAGCAGCCGAUAUCGGAUUAGCUAGUUGGUGGGGUAACGGCUCACCAAGGCGACGAUCCAUUAACUGGUUUGAAAUGAUAUGGGACUGGGGCCGGCCCCAGACUCCUGCAGGAGGCAACAGGGGGGAAUUUGGACAAUGGGAAAACCCUGAUCCAGCCAUCCCGCGUGUGCGAUACCCGAAGGCCUUCGGGUUGUUAAGCCACUUUUUUGGCAGGAAAGAAACGGCACCGGGAUAGCCCAUUUUGGCAGCAACCUGCAGAAUGCAGCACCGGCUAACUACGUGCCCAGCUUCAGCCGCCGUCCAAUACGUAGGUGCAAAGCGUUAAUCAACACUGGGCGUAAAGCGUGCGCAGGCGGUUCGGAAAGAAAAGAUCAUAAAAUCCCAGAGCUUAACUUUGGAACUGUUUAACUACCGAGCUAGAGUGUCAGAGGGAGGUGAAUUCCGCGUGUAGCAGUGAAAUGCGUAGAUAUGCGGGGAACACUGAUGGCCAAAACAGCCUCUGGGAUAACACUGACGCUCAUGCACGAAAGCGUGGGGAGCAAACAGGAUUGAAUACCCUGGUAGUCCACGCCUAAACGAUGUCAACUAGCUGUUGGGGCCUUCGGGCCUUGGUGGCGACUAACGCGUGAAGUUGACCGCCUGGGGAGUGCAAUUCGCAAGAUUAAACUCAAAGGAAUUGACGGGGACCCGCACAAGCGGUGGAUGAUGGUUAAUUCGAUGCAACGCGAAAAACCUUACCUACGCCAGUAUGUCUGGAAUCGAAGAGAUUUGGGAGUGCUCGCAAGAGAACCCGGAACAGGUGCUGCAUGGCUGUCGUCAGCUCGUCUGUGAGAUGUUGGGUUAAGUCCCGCAACAGGCGCAACCCUUGUCUGGUUGCUGCGAGGGCCACUCAUGAGACUGCCGGUGACCGACCGGAGGAAGGUGGGGAUGACGUCAAGUCCUCAUGGCCGCUGCUGGGUAGGGCUUCACACGUCAUACAAUGGUCGGGACAGAGGGUCGCCAACCCGCCCGAGAGAGGUAAUCAGAAACCCGAUCGUAGUCCGGAUCACCGAUCGCUCGGCUGCGUGAAGUCAGAAUCGCUAGUAAUCGCGGAUCAACUGUCGCGGUGAAUACGUUCAGGUCUUCGCCACACACCGCCCGUCACACCAUGGGGUGCGGUUUUACCAAGUAGUUCCUUCACCGUAAGGAGGGUGAUUACCACGGUAGGAUUCA